AACGCUGAAAGCAUCUAAGCGUGAAGCCCACCUCAAGAUUAGAUUUCCCAUAGCGUAAGCUAGUAAGACCCCUGAAAGACUAUCAGGUUGAUAGGUUGGAGGUGUAAGUACAGUAAUGUAUUCAGCUGACCAAUACUAAUAGGUCGAGGGCUUGAUCAAAUAUUUAUUAU
RNAcentral lists this ribosomal RNA (170 nucleotides) under Clostridium haemolyticum. Its description in RNAcentral is "partial 23S ribosomal RNA". It matches the Rfam family "Bacterial large subunit ribosomal RNA", at positions 2767 to 2925 of the family's 2925-position model. The record is from RNAcentral. Lineage: Bacteria; Bacillati; Bacillota; Clostridia; Eubacteriales; Clostridiaceae.